This 685-nucleotide long non-coding RNA is filed under the name Mytilus galloprovincialis (Mediterranean mussel). Lineage: Eukaryota; Metazoa; Mollusca; Bivalvia; Mytilida; Mytilidae. The record is from RNAcentral.
GGGCAAUCAUGCUUCGGUCAUUCCCUAUAUAAUCAACCAAAUUGUCAUACAAAAGGUCCUACUUGGACCCGCCUUUGCCACUAAAUAGUCCAAUAUUUCCCAAAAAAGGCGUUAACCUCCAAUCAAUCAACCAAUCUCUGAAAUACAUCAAGUUAAUGUUUUUGGUGGGGUUCGUGUUGCUUAUUAUUCAGUUUUAUAUGUUGUGUCGUGUGUAUUUUUUUUGUCAGUUUGUCUUUUUCAUUUUUAGCCAUGGCGUUGUCACUUUUUUCGAUUUAUGAAUUUGACUGUUCCUUUGGUAUCUUUCUUCCCUCUUUUAUUAAUGCCUGCGUCACACUAUCCCGAUUAUUAUAUACGAUGGACACCCGAAUGGGAAAAUUUUAAGUUCGUACGAAGUUGUUCCCGAUCUCGUUAAAAUACCAAAAAGAGACCGAAGCAAGAACGAUGAAUAACGAAGUCUAUACGAUGGUGCCGAAAUUAUAUAUGAUAGCAAAAGAUGGACAUUUGAAGGUUACCGAAGACGUGUAUUUAAGCUUCAUAUCUCAGCCGAAGCCUACACGAUGGAUCACGAAGGCUAUGUACACGAUGGAUUACGAAUGCUACACGAUUGAUUACGACGAUGGUGCGAAAACAAACAAGAUACAUAAAGGUAAAAUACAUGUAUGUACAUAAUACAUGUAUGAAAACG